This 72-nucleotide non-coding RNA is filed under the name Thiomonas sp. CB2. Its description in RNAcentral is "Betaproteobacteria_toxic_sRNA". It matches the Rfam family "Betaproteobacteria toxic small RNA". From Rfam's summary of the family: Overexpression in amino aid rich medium attenuates growth, suggesting role in repressing amino acid intake and metabolism. Lineage: Bacteria; Pseudomonadati; Pseudomonadota; Betaproteobacteria; Burkholderiales. RNAcentral also lists the same sequence under 3 other names. The record is from RNAcentral.
UGUCUCCUCCACCUCCUCCUUUGGUGGAUUCUUACCCGGGCCGAUGAUCAUCAUCCGCCCGGGUAUUUUUUU